GACGAACGCUGGCGGCGUGCCUAAUACAUGCAAGUGGGACGCAAGGGAACACACUGUGCUUGCACACCGUGUUUUCUUGAGUCGCGAACGGGUGAGUAACGCGUAGGUAACCUGCCUAUUAGCGGGGGAUAACUAUUGGAAACAAUAGCUAAUACCGCAUAAUAUUAAUUAUUGCAUGAUAAUUGAUUGAAAGAUGCAAGCGCAUCACUAGUAGAUGGACCUGCGUUGUAUUAGCUAGUUGGUAAGGUAAGAGCUUACCAAGGCGACGAUACAUAGCCGACCUGAGAGGGUGAUCGGCCACACUGGGACUGAGACACGGCCCAGACUCCUACGGGAGGCAGCAGUAGGGAAUCUUCGGCAAUGGACGAAAGUCUGACCGAGCAACGCCGCGUGAGUGAAGAAGGUUUUCGGAUCGUAAAGCUCUGUUGUAAGUCAAGAACGUGUGUGAGAGUGGAAAGUCCACACAGUGACGUAGCUACCAGAAAGGACGC
This 491-nucleotide ribosomal RNA is filed under the name Streptococcus mutans. Its description in RNAcentral is "bacterial SSU rRNA". It matches the Rfam family "Bacterial small subunit ribosomal RNA", at positions 28 to 495 of the family's 1533-position model. Lineage: Bacteria; Bacillati; Bacillota; Bacilli; Lactobacillales; Streptococcaceae. The record is from RNAcentral.